AUAACUAAGCGGAGGAAAAGAAACCAACCGGGAUUACCCCAGUAACGGCGAGUGAAGCGGUAACAGCCCAGCGCCGAAUCCACCGUGGCUAACGCUCGGCUGGAACUGUGGCGUGCGGGACGUAGCCAGUCGGCGUGGAAAGAUACCAAAGUCCCCCCGAGCGGGGCCCUUCCCAUAGCGGGUGCCAGGCCUCUGUCGGUAUCUAUCCCGUUGACCGCUACAGUCUCUGGAGUCGGGUUGCUUGGGAAUGCAGCCCGAAGUGGGAGGUAAACUCCUCCUAAGGCUAAAUACCGGCGCGAGUCCGAUAGCGAACAAGUACCGUGAGGGAAAGUU
Molecule: ribosomal RNA, 333 nt
Filed under: Microchlamylla amabilis
Lineage: Eukaryota; Metazoa; Mollusca; Gastropoda; Nudibranchia; Coryphellidae
Also listed under: 1 other name
Description: partial large subunit ribosomal RNA
Rfam family: Eukaryotic large subunit ribosomal RNA
Source: RNAcentral